RNAcentral lists this ribosomal RNA (2927 nucleotides) under Escherichia coli FAP1. RNAcentral's name for it is "bacterial LSU rRNA". It matches the Rfam family "Bacterial large subunit ribosomal RNA". The record is from RNAcentral. Lineage: Bacteria; Pseudomonadati; Pseudomonadota; Gammaproteobacteria; Enterobacterales; Enterobacteriaceae.
GGGUUGUGAGGUUAAGCGACUAAGCGUACACGGUGGAUGCCCUGGCAGUCAGAGGCGAUGAAGGACGUGCUAAUCUGCGAUAAGCGUCGGUAAGGUGAUAUGAACCGUUAUAACCGGCGAUUUCCGAAUGGGGAAACCCAGUGUGAUUCGUCACACUAUCAUUAACUGAAUCCAUAGGUUAAUGAGGCGAACCGGGGGAACUGAAACAUCUAAGUACCCCGAGGAAAAGAAAUCAACCGAGAUUCCCCCAGUAGCGGCGAGCGAACGGGGAGGAGCCCAGAGCCUGAAUCAGUGUGUGUGUUAGUGGAAGCGUCUGGAAAGGCGCGCGAUACAGGGUGACAGCCCCGUACACAAAAAUGCACAUGCUGUGAGCUCGAUGAGUAGGGCGGGACACGUGGUAUCCUGUCUGAAUAUGGGGGGACCAUCCUCCAAGGCUAAAUACUCCUGACUGACCGAUAGUGAACCAGUACCGUGAGGGAAAGGCGAAAAGAACCCCGGCGAGGGGAGUGAAAAAGAACCUGAAACCGUGUACGUACAAGCAGUGGGAGCACAGAGCAAUCUGUGUGACUGCGUACCUUUUGUAUAAUGGGUCAGCGACUUAUAUUCUGUAGCAAGGUUAACCGAAUAGGGGAGCCGAAGGGAAACCGAGUCUUAACUGGGCGUUAAGUUGCAGGGUAUAGACCCGAAACCCGGUGAUCUAGCCAUGGGCAGGUUGAAGGUUGGGUAACACUAACUGGAGGACCGAACCGACUAAUGUUGAAAAAUUAGCGGAUGACUUGUGGCUGGGGGUGAAAGGCCAAUCAAACCGGGAGAUAGCUGGUUCUCCCCGAAAGCUAUUUAGGUAGCGCCUCGUGAAUUCAUCUCCGGGGGUAGAGCACUGUUUCGGCAAGGGGGUCAUCCCGACUUACCAACCCGAUGCAAACUGCGAAUACCGGAGAAUGUUAUCACGGGAGACACACGGCGGGUGCUAACGUCCGUCGUGAAGAGGGAAACAACCCAGACCGCCAGCUAAGGUCCCAAAGUCAUGGUUAAGUGGGAAACGAUGUGGGAAGGCCCAGACAGCCAGGAUGUUGGCUUAGAAGCAGCCAUCAUUUAAAGAAAGCGUAAUAGCUCACUGGUCGAGUCGGCCUGCGCGGAAGAUGUAACGGGGCUAAACCAUGCACCGAAGCUGCGGCAGCGACGCUUAUGCGUUGUUGGGUAGGGGAGCGUUCUGUAAGCCUGUGAAGGUGUACUGUGAGGUACGCUGGAGGUAUCAGAAGUGCGAAUGCUGACAUAAGUAACGAUAAAGCGGGUGAAAAGCCCGCUCGCCGGAAGACCAAGGGUUCCUGUCCAACGUUAAUCGGGGCAGGGUGAGUCGACCCCUAAGGCGAGGCCGAAAGGCGUAGUCGAUGGGAAACAGGUUAAUAUUCCUGUACUUGGUGUUACUGCGAAGGGGGGACGGAGAAGGCUAUGUUGGCCGGGCGACGGUUGUCCCGGUUUAAGCGUGUAGGCUGGUUUUCCAGGCAAAUCCGGAAAAUCAAGGCUGAGGCGUGAUGACGAGGCACUACGGUGCUGAAGCAACAAAUGCCCUGCUUCCAGGAAAAGCCUCUAAGCAUCAGGUAACAUCAAAUCGUACCCCAAACCGACACAGGUGGUCAGGUAGAGAAUACCAAGGCGCUUGAGAGAACUCGGGUGAAGGAACUAGGCAAAAUGGUGCCGUAACUUCGGGAGAAGGCACGCUGAUAUGUAGGUGAAGUCCCUCGCGGAUGGAGCUGAAAUCAGUCGAAGAUACCAGCUGGCUGCAACUGUUUAUUAAAAACACAGCACUGUGCAAACACGAAAGUGGACGUAUACGGUGUGACGCCUGCCCGGUGCCGGAAGGUUAAUUGAUGGGGUCAGCGCAAGCGAAGCUCUUGAUCGAAGCCCCGGUAAACGGCGGCCGUAACUAUAACGGUCCUAAGGUAGCGAAAUUCCUUGUCGGGUAAGUUCCGACCUGCACGAAUGGCGUAAUGAUGGCCAGGCUGUCUCCACCCGAGACUCAGUGAAAUUGAACUCGCUGUGAAGAUGCAGUGUACCCGCGGCAAGACGGAAAGACCCCGUGAACCUUUACUAUAGCUUGACACUGAACAUUGAGCCUUGAUGUGUAGGAUAGGUGGGAGGCUUUGAAGUGUGGACGCCAGUCUGCAUGGAGCCGACCUUGAAAUACCACCCUUUAAUGUUUGAUGUUCUAACGUUGACCCGUGAUCCGGGUUGCGGACAGUGUCUGGUGGGUAGUUUGACUGGGGCGGUCUCCUCCUAAAGAGUAACGGAGGAGCACGAAGGUUGGCUAAUCCUGGUCGGACAUCAGGAGGUUAGUGCAAUGGCAUAAGCCAGCUUGACUGCGAGCGUGACGGCGCGAGCAGGUGCGAAAGCAGGUCAUAGUGAUCCGGUGGUUCUGAAUGGAAGGGCCAUCGCUCAACGGAUAAAAGGUACUCCGGGGAUAACAGGCUGAUACCGCCCAAGAGUUCAUAUCGACGGCGGUGUUUGGCACCUCGAUGUCGGCUCAUCACAUCCUGGGGCUGAAGUAGGUCCCAAGGGUAUGGCUGUUCGCCAUUUAAAGUGGUACGCGAGCUGGGUUUAGAACGUCGUGAGACAGUUCGGUCCCUAUCUGCCGUGGGCGCUGGAGAACUGAGGGGGGCUGCUCCUAGUACGAGAGGACCGGAGUGGACGCAUCACUGGUGUUCGGGUUGUCAUGCCAAUGGCACUGCCCGGUAGCUAAAUGCGGAAGAGAUAAGUGCUGAAAGCAUCUAAGCACGAAACUUGCCCCGAGAUGAGUUCUCCCUGACUCCUUGAGAGUCCUGAAGGAACGUUGAAGACGACGACGUUGAUAGGCCGGGUGUGUAAGCGCAGCGAUGCGUUGAGCUAACCGGUACUAAUGAACCGUGAGGCUUAACCUUACAACGCCGAAG